GUGACGUCAGGGCCCCGGAGAGCUCGGAGAGGACAUGUGGCCCCGCCCACCGUGACGUCCGGGCCCGGGUUGAGUUGGGGGCGGGGCCGGGCGGCCUGGCUCCGCGCCCUCUCGUCCAGGCCUCCAGAGCGGGGAAACUGAGGCCAGCGGCCCCCUGGUCGCAAAGUCCUGGGCCCUCGGCCCUCACGAUCUGCUGCUCAGACCUGCAGGAUCACAGGGAGGCCGGUUCUCCCUCCCCUUACACAAAAGGGCUCCCUGUGCAGUUUGGGAACUGGAAACCGAAGGGGAAGCCAGUUUAGGGGGCACCCAGUUUGCACGAGGCCAGAGAGAGACAGAGGGGCCCGUCCUGGUCCUGGGGGGCCACAGCUCUAUGCAGACUCUGGACGCCCUACCUGCCUGGCCUGCAUUUGCCGCCCUAGGGCUCUCAGGCCCCAGCAGUGGGGUCCUUUGAGGAGGACUGGGGACUGCCCAGCCUCAGGGACCACCCGCAUCAGGGAGAACCAGUAGUGUUUCUUUGCCACAGGGACCUCGGCCCGGGAGACACGUCCAACAGUGAGAUCCACCUUUAUUGAAACAUCACACGGCAGCAUCAGGGCUCCCACACCUCACAGGGCAGCAGGUGGUUCACAGGGCUUCGGGGGGCCU
Molecule: long non-coding RNA, 645 nt
Filed under: Homo sapiens (human)
Lineage: Eukaryota; Metazoa; Chordata; Mammalia; Primates; Hominidae
Description: HSALNT0157135
Source: RNAcentral